This 491-nucleotide ribosomal RNA is filed under the name uncultured bacterium. RNAcentral's name for it is "partial 16S ribosomal RNA". It matches the Rfam family "Bacterial small subunit ribosomal RNA", at positions 29 to 507 of the family's 1533-position model. The record is from RNAcentral.
AGUGAACGCUGGCGGUAGGCCUAACACAUGCAAGUCGAACGGCAGCACAGUAAGAGCUUGCUCUUACGGGUGGCGAGUGGCGGACGGGUGAGGAAUACAUCGGAAUCUACUUUUUCGUGGGGGAUAACGUAGGGAAACUUACGCUAAUACCGCAUACGACCUACGGGUGAAAGCAGGGGAUCUUCGGACCUUGCGCGAUUGAAUGAGCCGAUGUCGGAUUAGCUAGUUGGCGGGGUAAAGGCCCACCAAGGCGACGAUCCGUAGCUGGUCUGAGAGGAUGAUCAGCCACACUGGAACUGAGACACGGUCCAGACUCCUACGGGAGGCAGCAGUGGGGAAUAUUGGACAAUGGGCGCAAGCUGAUCCAGCCAUACCGCGUGGGUGAAGAAGGCCUUCGGGUUGUAAAGCCCCUUUGUUGGGAAAGAAAAGCAGCAGGUUAAUACCCCGCUGUUCUGACGGUACCCAAAGAAUAAGCACCGGCUAACUUCGUG